AUUUUCUUAGAGAACCACAAAUUAGGGAGACAAGGGAGUUAAGAGAAAUGCAAGUUGGGUGCUUUUGUAGCUGUGUCCUUGACUAGAGUUCAAAACCCAUGAUCGACCAUGACAGUGCUUUCAGGGUGGUCUACUUUGUUAGGCAUGUCGGUCCAAAACGUGUGGGUAUGGAACCAAUAUAAUUUUAUAUAUAUUACAAAAUUUUCAUUACAUUUAUAAAACUCUCUUCUUAUUUCUAUAAAGAAAAGGUAAGAUCCAACUAAAAGUAACCAAUAAUCGGCUGAGGAGUAGUGUUUGUCAAACAAAGCUGAGUGAGUUUCUUAAUAAAGAAACCAAAACUAGCUUCUCGAGAUCCUCACACCCAAUGCAUCCCCAGCAUGUUGCUGCAGCUCUUGUUGCCGGAUUGCCAACAUAUACAGUAGAUUAAUCAUUCUUCAUUGAAAUUCAAUUGAGUGGAAUAAAAGAAGAUACCCUUUGAUCUCCAUCAUUUUCAGC
Long non-coding RNA from Populus euphratica (Euphrates poplar), 495 nucleotides. RefSeq lists it as uncharacterized. The record is from RefSeq and is a predicted model, not a curated record. The transcript is spliced from 2 exons. Lineage: Eukaryota; Viridiplantae; Streptophyta; Magnoliopsida; Malpighiales; Salicaceae.